UACGUAGGGUGCAAGCGUUGUCCGGAAUUAUUGGGCGUAAAGAGCUCGUAGGCGGUCUGUCGCGUCGAAUGUGAAAAUCCGAGGCUCAACCUCGGACCUGCAUUCGAUACGGGCAGACUAGAGUUCGGUAGGGGAGUCUGGAAUUCCUGGUGUAGCGGUGAAAUGCGCAGAUAUCAGGAGGAACACCCGUGGCUAAGGCGGCUCUCUAGUACGGUACUGACGCUGAGACGCGAAAGCGUGGGGAGCGAACAGG
This 253-nucleotide ribosomal RNA is filed under the name uncultured bacterium. RNAcentral's name for it is "partial 16S ribosomal RNA". It matches the Rfam family "Bacterial small subunit ribosomal RNA", at positions 524 to 776 of the family's 1533-position model. The record is from RNAcentral.